This 500-nucleotide ribosomal RNA is filed under the name uncultured bacterium. RNAcentral describes it as "partial 16S ribosomal RNA". It matches the Rfam family "Bacterial small subunit ribosomal RNA", at positions 30 to 523 of the family's 1533-position model. The record is from RNAcentral.
AUUGAACGCUGGCGGCAUGCUUUACACAUGCAAGUCGAACGGUAACAGGGUGCUUGCACCGCUGACGAGUGGCGAACGGGUGAGUAAUGCGUCGGAACGUGCCGAGUAGUGGGGGAUAACGCAGCGAAAGUUGUGCUAAUACCGCAUACGUACUGAGGUAGAAAGUGGGGGACCUUCGGGCCUCACGCUAUUCGAGCGGCCGACGUCUGAUUAGCUAGUAGGUGAGGUAAAGGCUCACCUAGGCGACGAUCAGUAGCGGGUAUGAGAGGAUGAUCGGCCACACUGGGACUGAGACACGGCCCAGACUCGUACGGGAGGAAGCAGUGGGGAAUUUUGGACAAUGGGCGAAAGCCUGAUCCAGCCAUGCCGCGUGUCUGAAGAAGGCCUUCGGGUUGUAAAGGACUUUUGUCAGGGAGGAAAUCCCUAGUGCUAAUAACACUGGGGGAUGACAGUACCUGAAGAAUAAGCACCGGCUAACUACGUGCCAGCCGCCGCGGUAA